UUCACCACUCAAGCCUCGCUUGGUAUUGGGCAACGCGGUCCGCCGCGUGCCUCAAAUCGUCCGGCUGGGUCUUCUGUCCCCUAAGCGUUGUGGAAACUAUUCGCUAAAGGGUGUUCGGGAGGCUACGCCGUAAAACAACCCCAUUUCUA
This 149-nucleotide ribosomal RNA is filed under the name Cladosporium sp. 02OHL12. RNAcentral's name for it is "5.8S ribosomal RNA". Lineage: Eukaryota; Fungi; Ascomycota; Dothideomycetes; Cladosporiales; Cladosporiaceae. The record is from RNAcentral.